UACAGAGGGUGCAAGCGUUAAUCGGAAUUACUGGGCGUAAAGCGCACGUAGGCGGUUUUUUAAGUCAGAUGUGAAAGCCCCGGGCUCAACCGGGGAAUUGCAUUUGAAACUGGGGAACUAGAGUGUGUGAGAGGGGGGUAGAAUUCCAAGUGUAGCGGUGAAAUGCGUAGAGAUUUGGAGGAAUACCAGUGGCGAAGGCGGCCCCCUGGCACAACACUGACGCUCAGGUGCGAAAGCGUGGGGAGCAAACAGG
This 253-nucleotide ribosomal RNA is filed under the name uncultured bacterium. RNAcentral's name for it is "partial 16S ribosomal RNA". It matches the Rfam family "Bacterial small subunit ribosomal RNA", at positions 524 to 776 of the family's 1533-position model. The record is from RNAcentral.